CUGAAACCGUGUACGUACAAGCAGUGGGAGCACAGAGCAAUCUGUGUGACUGCGUACCUUUUGUAUAAUGGGUCAGCGACUUAUAUUCUGUAGCAAGGUUAACCGAAUAGGGGAGCCGAAGGGAAACCGAGUCUUAACUGGGCGUUAAGUUGCAGGGUAUAGACCCGAAACCCGGUGAUCUAGCCAUGGGCAGGUUGAAGGUUGGGUAACACUAACUGGAGGACCGAACCGACUAAUGUUGAAAAAUUAGCGGAUGACUUGUGGCUGGGGGUGAAAGGCCAAUCAAACCGGGAGAUAGCUGGUUCUCCCCGAAAGCUAUUUAGGUAGCGCCUCGUGAAUUCAUCUCCGGGGGUAGAGCACUGUUUCGGCAAGGGGGUCAUCCCGACUUACCAACCCGAUGCAAACUGCGAAUACCGGAGAAUGUUAUCACGGGAGACACACGGCGGGUGCUAACGUCCGUCGUGAAGAGGGAAACAACCCAGACCGCCAGCUAAGGUCCCAAAGUCAUGGUUAAGUGGGAAACGAUGUGGGAAGGCCCAGACAGCCAGGAUGUUGGCUUAGAAGCAGCCAUCAUUUAAAGAAAGCGUAAUAGCUCACUGGUCGAGUCGGCCUGCGCGGAAGAUGUAACGGGGCUAAACCAUGCACCGAAGCUGCGGCAGCGACACUAUGUGUUGUUGGGUAGGGGAGCGUUCUGUAAGCCUGUGAAGGUGUGCUGUGAGGCAUGCUGGAGGUAUCAGAAGUGCGAAUGCUGACAUAAGUAACGAUAAAGCGGGUGAAAAGCCCGCUCGCCGGAAGACCAAGGGUUCCUGUCCAACGUUAAUCGGGGCAGGGUGAGUCGACCCCUAAGGCGAGGCCGAAAGGCGUAGUCGAUGGGAAACAGGUUAAUAUUCCUGUACUUGGUGUUACUGCGAAGGGGGGACGGAGAAGGCUAUGUUGGCCGGGCGACGGUUGUCCCGGUUUAAGCGUGUAGGCUGGUUUUCCAGGCAAAUCCGGAAAAUCAAGGCUGAGGCGUGAUGACGAGGCACUACGGUGCUGAAGCAACAAAUGCCCUGCUUCCAGGAAAAGCCUCUAAGCAUCAGGUAACAUCAAAUCGUACCCCAAACCGACACAGGUGGUCAGGUAGAGAAUACCAAGGCGCUUGAGAGAACUCGGGUGAAGGAACUAGGCAAAAUGGUGCCGUAACUUCGGGAGAAGGCACGCUGAUAUGUAGGUGAAGCGACUUGCUCGUGGAGCUGAAAUCAGUCGAAGAUACCAGCUGGCUGCAACUGUUUAUUAAAAACACAGCACUGUGCAAACACGAAAGUGGACGUAUACGGUGUGACGCCUGCCCGGUGC
RNAcentral lists this ribosomal RNA (1335 nucleotides) under Escherichia coli. RNAcentral describes it as "partial 23S ribosomal RNA". It matches the Rfam family "Bacterial large subunit ribosomal RNA", at positions 550 to 1869 of the family's 2925-position model. Lineage: Bacteria; Pseudomonadati; Pseudomonadota; Gammaproteobacteria; Enterobacterales; Enterobacteriaceae. The record is from RNAcentral.